AAAGUCGUAACAAGGUUUCCGUAGGUGAACCUGCGGAAGGAUCAUUACCAAAUCCAAAAAAAACUUUAUCAACACCCUUAUGUGAACUGAGAAACCGUUUCGUUCCCUGAGAGAACAACAACAACAGCACAAAGAAGGCAGAUUUUUUUUAAAAAAAUUUAUCUUCUGGACCUUUUGUUUUUUCUCAGGGAAUGUUUAUUUUUCAACCCCUUUACAACCUAUUCUACCCAUACAUUUAUGCUGAAAGCAAAAAAAAAACGAAACAUGAGACAACUUUUAACGGUGGAUCUCUUGGCUCGU
Molecule: unclassified non-coding RNA, 300 nt
Filed under: Glomeromycotina sp.
Lineage: Eukaryota; Fungi; Glomeromycota
Description: partial contains small subunit ribosomal RNA, internal transcribed spacer 1, and 5.8S ribosomal RNA
Rfam family: Eukaryotic small subunit ribosomal RNA (bases 1-47)
Source: RNAcentral